RNAcentral lists this unclassified non-coding RNA (381 nucleotides) under uncultured Ascomycota. RNAcentral's name for it is "sequence contains ITS2". The stretch from base 1 to 154 matches the Rfam family "5.8S ribosomal RNA". The record is from RNAcentral. Lineage: Eukaryota; Fungi; Ascomycota.
AACUUUCAACAAUGGAUCACUUGGUUCUGGCAUCGAUGAAGAACGCAGCGAAAUGCGAUAAGUAAUGUGAAUUGCAGAAUUCAACGAAUCAUCGAAUCUUUGAACGCACAUUGCGCCCAUUGGUAUUCCGAUGGGCAUGCCUGUUCGAGCGUCAUUUCAACCCUCAAGCUAUCUUUGCUUGGCGUUGGAGCCUCUAUAAUAUGACAUUAUAGGCUCUGAAAGACCUUGGCGGUAGUUUUAUAAACCCGAACGUAGUAAUUACUUUUCGUUUAGGGAGUUGUAGAAUUUCUCUAGCCACACUCUCCUUCUGGAAUUCUAAAGGUUGACCUCGGAUCAGGUAGGAAUACCCGCUGAACUUAAGCAUAUCAAUAAGCGGAGGCU